CUCUUCGGGGAUGAUUAAACCGGCGCACGGGUGAGUAACACGUGAGUGACCUGCCUUUAGACUGGAACAACUUACCGAAAGGUGAGCUAAUGCCGGAUGAGUUAUAUAAGUGCAUGUUUAUAUAGGAAAAGUUGGGGAGACCUGACGCUGAAAGAUGGACUCGCGUCCCAUUAGCUAGUUGGUAGGGUAAUGGCCUACCAAGGCGACGAUGGGUAGCCGGCCUGAGAGGGUGGCCGGCCACACUGGGACUGAGACACGGCCCAGACUCCUACGGGAGGCAGCAGUGGGGAAUUUUGCGCAAUGCUCGUAAGAGUGACGCAGCGACGCCGCGUGAAUGACGAAGGCCUUCGGGUCGUAAAGUUCUUUCGACAGGGAAGAAAAUGCCUAUAAGUAACUGUGUAUGUAUUGACGGUACCUGUAUAAGCAGCCCCGGCUAACUCCGUGCCAGCAGCCGCGGUAAUACGGAGGGGGCGAGCGUUGUUCGGAGUGACUGGGCGUAAAGAGCACGUAGGCGGUGUUGUAAGUCAUUAGUCAAAGACUAGAGCUCAACUUUAGUAAGGCUAGUGAUACUAUAAUACUAGAGUAUCAGAGAGGAUUGCAGAAUUCCUGGUGUAGCGGUGAAAUGCGUAGAUAUCAGGAGGAAUACCGUUAGCGAAGGCGGCAAUCUGGCUGGAAACUGACGCUGAGGUGCGAAAGCGUGGGUAGCAAACAGGAUUAGAUACCCUGGUAGUCCACGCUGUAAACGAUGGAUGCUAGGUGUUGGGCUUUUAAGUUCAGUG
RNAcentral lists this ribosomal RNA (779 nucleotides) under uncultured bacterium. RNAcentral describes it as "bacterial SSU rRNA". It matches the Rfam family "Bacterial small subunit ribosomal RNA", at positions 76 to 845 of the family's 1533-position model. The record is from RNAcentral.